RNAcentral lists this ribosomal RNA (253 nucleotides) under uncultured bacterium. RNAcentral describes it as "partial 16S ribosomal RNA". It matches the Rfam family "Bacterial small subunit ribosomal RNA", at positions 524 to 776 of the family's 1533-position model. The record is from RNAcentral.
UACGUAGGGUGCAAGCGUUGUCCGGAAUUAUUGGGCGUAAAGAGCUCGUAGGCGGUCUGUCGCGUCGGAUGUGAAAACCCAGGGCUCAACCCUGGGCCUGCAUUCGAUACGGGCAGACUAGAGUUCGGUAGGGGAGACUGGAAUUCCUGGUGUAGCGGUGAAAUGCGCAGAUAUCAGGAGGAACACCGAUGGCGAAGGCAGCUCACUGGGACGGUACUGACGCUGAGGCGCGAAAGCGUGGGGAGCAAACAGG